This is a long non-coding RNA of Papaver somniferum (opium poppy), 3307 nucleotides long. RefSeq lists it as uncharacterized. The record is from RefSeq and is a predicted model, not a curated record. The transcript has 2 exons. NCBI's taxonomy places the organism in Eukaryota, Viridiplantae, Streptophyta, Magnoliopsida, Ranunculales, Papaveraceae.
UCUUUAUCACCUGAAAUCGAGAGAGGCAAAGAAAUGGAGGCCGUUGUCCGAGACCUCUCUGUCUAAGAUCGAGGAAUUACCAGAGAAAUUGGUGGGAAAUAAUUCAAAUAUUAUACUUCUGAUGAGUAGAAAUUGAAUCAGAAGAAGGUGACGCUCAAGGUUUUGUGGGAGAUCUGAAAUGGAAGAAUUGAAGAAUGGGUUGUCGUAUCUGGAAGAUAUUGAUGAUGGAAUUAGGGUCCUGGUGGUUGCAAUCAGUUGAUAACAGGGAAAUGAAGAUUGGGUGUUCGAUUUUGGAGUGAUUGAUUGGCUUAUAUUGAAUCUGAGACAGGGGAAGCUCUGUCGUUGCCGUAAUUGUUGCUGCUGCCGAUUGAAUAAGUCAAGACUGAAUGGAGUUUGAGCAGGUUAGAUGAGAAGGGUUUGUUGGUGGUGCUGUUAAUUGGUUUGAAUCAAGAAUGGGUAUAUGAUUGAUGUGGAGAUGCUGUUGUUGAGAGGCAAAGCCACAGGUUAGGGCUUGUGGUGACUGACAUUGAAGAUUAUGAAGAAGAUGAAGCAGUGAAGAUGUUGAAAUUCAUGGGUUCGACUGAAAUUGAGAGGAGAGAUCGAAUUGAUGGGAUUCUGGUAAGAAGUGCUGCUUUGAGAGGCUACUGAAAACUGUUAGAUGAAUGUGUAGGAUGUUGCAGGUGAACUAUGUUUUGCAGCUGGUGAAGCUUAAGUAUUGAGCUUGAACUACAGGGAAGAAUGGAUGGUUUCGUGGGUGCUUGAUCGAAUGCAGAGAACUGUUGUUGCAGUUGGUCUGCUACUGGAGUUGGUGGUGAAGUUCAGAAGCUGAAGGCUAUUGCAGCUGCAGGAUUAUGGAACUCAAAGUGCAGUCGCUGGUGCAAUAGCAGAGAUGAGUCUGGAGCUAAUGGUUAAUGGGUUAUGAGGAUUUUCUUUGUAUUGAGAUGCUCUGAAGAAUGAUUGCAGAUGCAAUUUCCGGAGGUCGUUGUAGAGGCAAUAGGCAGUGGUUCGAGCCGAGAAUUGGCUGGGAUAGGUCAAGCUUGCUGUUGCUCAUGUUUCUGAUGGCUAAUUACGGUAGUGAUGAGUACCAAGGGUGAUGAGUUGAAUCUGAGAUGAUGAAGCUGGUGUUGGUGAUGUAUGGAACAGAAGUUGUGAAGCUGAGAUAGGAGUUGAAGUUGCUGCGCAGUGAAGUGUGGUUGAGUUCUAGAAAGUACAUGAAGGUCUGCAAGAUAGAUGGGUUUGAGACAAUUGAUGGGACUAAGUACAAGACAGGGUAGAUGGUUUGAAUUAGUUCAGGUGGUGGAUGAAGGUGAUGCCAUGGAGAUGGUGGUGCUCAAUUUAGGUGUGCAACUGGUGACGAGAAGAACAAAGAAGGAAGAUGGGUUCUGGUUUUUGGUUCAAUAACAGAUAGAAGAGGGGAUGAUGAAGAUGCUGUUACCAUGAAGACUAUCAAGGGAAUAAUGGGUUUAUGGCUAAUUGAGAAGAACUGAGCUGCUAUUGAUAGAAGUAUGAGAUGCAGCUGUUGUUGGUGGUAGUCUGAGAAGGAAAUUGAUUGAACUGAAAUUGGGGUAUGUGUUGCUGCUGCUGUCAAUAUCAGAAAUGGUGAUUAUCAUGGGUUCGAUUAUUGUAUGAAGAUGGUUUUGGUAGCUGUUGCCACUGACAACUGGUGCUAAUGGAAGAGCAGAGUGGAGGUUAUGUGAAUGGGUUUUAAUGUAACAGAUGGCCAAAGAGAUGGAGUUAUUGGUGCAGAGAUUGGAUGAAGUCAAGGAAGUAAAGGCUUGCAGCUGAAAUGGUGUAGGUGGUGACAGCUCAGGUUUGAGCUCAUCAAGGAGAUACUGGUGCUUGCUGUUAUGUGGAGCUGAAAAGAUGGAGUUGCAGCUGCAGUGCUAGAUGGCUUGUUGGUGGUAUAUGAAUUGCAGGGAAGAUCAGUUGUGCUAAGUGGGUCACUGCCUGGGGAAACUGAGACAAUGGGCGAAAGAGUUGCUGCAAGAGUUAUGCGUGUUUAGGCGCAGCAAAGAAACUGAGUUGUUGGUGAUAUACUGGCAGGGAAGUAUGGUUUGAGCUUCAAGGGUUGGAUGCAGUUAUGCAAUAUAGAAGUGGUGAAUGAUGCUGAAACUGCUCAUUAGAUGUAUGCUAGGAAUUUUACAAGCAAGAAUUUGAAAGGCCUGGAAUCUGCUAGGAGAUGAUCAGAAAUAGACAGAACUCGGACGGGAUCGGACUUGGACGAGUUCACUCAGCGAUACAGACGAGCUAACCAGGUAAAGGCGCUGUUAAGAAGACUGUUAAAGAUGACGACGACUCAUGAAGACCGUUAGUUUGACUCAGGUCACCGGCGAAGCAUAUUCCAGUGACUAGAUAGAAUAUUCCGUUAAACUUCCGGUCUGUGACACCAGACUUCAGGCGACCAAUUCUGGCAGAGAAUUUCACAUGGGUUUUAAUGCACUAUGGGCUUGAUGGACCACUUGGAGAUGGGUUUUGAGAAGACCUAAUAUUGGAAGUGAAAACUACAGCCACACCCAUUUUCUCACCUUCCACCACUGUCAAACCCACGCGUGUAAAAGUUCACACGCGCACCCAAAAUCGGCGUAUAAAUUCUGCCGAAACCCAAAAUUUUCAAAAUUCAGUUUUCUUUUUAUUUUAUUUCCAAGUUUAACCUCACUUUAUGUUUUGAGAUUUUGUAUUGAGAUUUUGUUCUGAGAGAUUGAUAUAGAGCCGGAGCGAGAGCUGAAGUAUUGAAUUAUCGAGAGUUGCGAAGGAGCUGAUUGAGAGAUUCAAUUUACUCAGCAAAGAUAAUCUGAAAUUCAAGCUCAGGAUAGAGAUCAACAACUUUUUCCAUGUCCAUGAACUUGAAAGGUGAAGACUGGAGUCCUUGACUAGCAGUUUGCUCUUGGCUAUCAAGUCUGGUAACUUCUGGAAAUGCUUCUUGAGUAGGUGGUUCAGUUGAAGAUACUACUUCAACAUGUGUCUGAUUCCUUGGAAAAUUUUCACAAAGUGGGACAAUAGUAUCAGCUAAUGAUGGAUUUAAGCUAGGGCCACCUGACGACUCUUCCUGCACCUCAUUUAUGCCUGAAUCAAUGAGCAAAAUCUUCACAUAUUCGUACAUCUGAGAAUUGAAGUCUCCUCCAGUCCGUCUAUAUGUCUCCUGAGUUUUUUUCAUGUCUUUCAACUUUGCUUGAAUAAUCUUAAACCUUGCUUCCAUACUAUUAGGACACUUCUCUUCUUCAAUGAUUUGUAACGCAUCUUGAAAUGCUUCUUCAUACUUGUCCAUGUUCUCUUCAAGAUUCAUUGCAACGAGUUCCAAUAUAGCUGA